CGACUCAAAGGUUGUCGAGCAUCAUCAGCCAUUUGGAGUUCUUCUCCAUUUGAACCUGUGCCUUCCAUGUCCCCCUUUCCUUCAUUGUAUCUAUUGGUCAUCUGCAUCAUAUUUUUCUCCUGUUUGAGUUUCCAACCCUCAACCCUCUCCUUCCAGUCAACAUUACCGAGGCCAUAAGUAUGCAAGUCCUUAGUCGGGUCCACAAUUCUAACAGGAACUGGCUGCCUUGGAUCAAUAUAAGGAGAUGAGUUAACAUUCUUUUCAGGAGGGCCCAAAGGCCCAGAUGUAGUUCGCACAGAUUGGGUGUCAGGUGUAGCACAGGGAAUUUCACCAGAAACCGGCUGCCCAUUCGUGAGAAGGGGAAUUGGCUGUUGUGACUCAUGCCUGGAUGAUGACGAAAGUUCUACAUCUUCACCCUGCCAUUGGCGUAUAGUCUUGCCAUUGCCUUGUGCAUAAUUGAAUUCAUUCUCUAGAUCAUCAACAUCAUCUUCAUCCUCGUCUCCCUCCACCCGAGGACUCCCUUUGUGCCUUUUGUACCUCGGGACAAGACUGAGUCCCAUCUUUCCGCUCAUACUCAUAACAAGGACGGCAAAUUGGGAAGGCACACUCAUUGCAAGCAACAAAUGUGUCACCACUGGCAGUCAGUCNUUCACCACAUAUCUGACAGGUUUGGCCAUUCAAAUUCUUGAGGGGUUUUGGCCCACUAUCGGAAUCAUGGCGAAUCCGAACCAACUCGUUCCUCCGGUAGGAACCUGCCACCAUGCCUGCAUUUGCUUCCAUGGUGGUGUGGAUCGUCCAGGUUUCUCAAAACAGAAAGAGAUCUGAUCUUGAUGAAAACGGUAUUGAAAAACAAAGAGGGUAAUGAUACGUCUGUUAACUCUUCGCGUCGCCCACUCAAUAAGCCAUCUCCGUCGGCUUACUCCUUCCAGCAAUCACUUUAGC
RNAcentral lists this unclassified non-coding RNA (942 nucleotides) under Hevea brasiliensis (rubber tree). Lineage: Eukaryota; Viridiplantae; Streptophyta; Magnoliopsida; Malpighiales; Euphorbiaceae. The record is from RNAcentral.